RNAcentral lists this ribosomal RNA (488 nucleotides) under uncultured bacterium. RNAcentral's name for it is "bacterial SSU rRNA". It matches the Rfam family "Bacterial small subunit ribosomal RNA", at positions 374 to 878 of the family's 1533-position model. The record is from RNAcentral.
GGGGAAACCCUGAUGCAGCAACGCCGCGUGAGUGAUGAAGGCCUUCGGGUUGUAAAGCUCUGUCUUCAGGGACGAUAAUGACGGUACCUGAGGAGGAAGCCACGGCUAACUACGUGCCAGCAGCCGCGGUAAUACGUAGGUGGCAAGCGUUGUCCGGAUUUACUGGGCGUAAAGGGAGCGUAGGCGGAUACUUAAGUGGGAUGUGAAAUACCUGGGCUUAACUUGGGUGCUGCAUUCCAAACUGGGUGUCUAGAGUGUUGGAGAGGAAAGUGGAAUUCCUAGUGUAGCGGUGAAAUGCGUAGAGAUUAGGAAGAACACCAGUGGCGAAGGCGACUUUCUGGACAAUAACUGACGCUGAGGCUCGAAAGCGUGGGGAGCAAACAGGAUUAGAUACCCUGGUAGUCCACGCCGUAAACGAUGGGUACUAGGUGUAGGGGGUAUCGACUCCCCCUGUGCCGCCGUUAACACAAUAAGUACCCCGCCUGGGG